AUUGAACGCAGGCGGCAGGCCUAACACAUGCAAGUCGAGCGGUAGAGAGAAGCUUGCUUCUCUUGAGAGCGGCGGACGGGUGAGUAAUGCCUAGGAAUCUGCCUGGUAGUGGGGGAUAACGUUCGGAAACGGACGCUAAUACCGCAUACGUCCUACGGGAGAAAGCAGGGGACCUUCGGGCCUUGCGCUAUCAGAUGAGCCUAGGUCGGAUUAGCUAGUUGGUGGGGUAAUGGCUCACCAAGGCGACGAUCCGUAACUGGUCUGAGAGGAUGAUCAGGCACACUGGAACUGAGACACGGUCCAGACUCCGACGGGAGGCAGCAGUGGGGAAUAUUGGACAAUGGGCGAAAGCCUGAUCCAGCCAUGCCGCGUGUGUGAAGAAGGUCUUCGGAUUGUAAAGCACUUUAAGUCGGGAGGAAGGGCUGUAGGCUAAUACCUUGCAGUUUUGACGUUACCGACAGAAUAAGCACCGGCUAACUUCGUGCCAGCCGCCGCAGUAA
This 500-nucleotide ribosomal RNA is filed under the name uncultured bacterium. Its description in RNAcentral is "partial 16S ribosomal RNA". It matches the Rfam family "Bacterial small subunit ribosomal RNA", at positions 30 to 523 of the family's 1533-position model. The record is from RNAcentral.